This 497-nucleotide ribosomal RNA is filed under the name uncultured bacterium. RNAcentral describes it as "partial 16S ribosomal RNA". It matches the Rfam family "Bacterial small subunit ribosomal RNA", at positions 28 to 507 of the family's 1533-position model. The record is from RNAcentral.
GAUGAACGCUGGCGGCGUGCCUAAUACAUGCAAGUCGAGCGAACAGACGAGGAGCUUGCUCCUCUGACGUUAGCGGCGGACGGGUGAGUAACACGUGGAUAACCUACCUAUAAGACUGGGAUAACUUCGGGAAACCGGAGCUACUACCGGAUAAUAUAUUGAACCGCAUGGUUCAAUAGUGAAAGACGGUUUUGCUGUCACUUAUAGAUGGAUCCGCGCCGCAUUAGCUAGUUGGUAAGGUAACGGCUUACCAAGGCAACGAUGCGUAGCCGACCUGAGAGGGUGAUCGGCCACACUGGAACUGAGACACGGUCCAGACUCCGACGGGAGGCAGCAGUAGGGAAUCUUCCGCGAUGGGCGAAAGCCGGACGGAGCAACGCCGCGUGAGUGAUGAAGGUCUUCGGAUCGUAAAACUCUGUUAUUAGGGAAGAACAAAUGUGUAAGUAACUAUGCACGUCUUGACGGUACCUAAUCAGAAAGCCACGGCUAACUACGUG